This is a long non-coding RNA of Biomphalaria glabrata, 943 nucleotides long. RefSeq lists it as uncharacterized. Lineage: Eukaryota; Metazoa; Mollusca; Gastropoda; Planorbidae. The transcript is spliced from 4 exons. The record is from RefSeq and is a predicted model, not a curated record.
ACAGACACUUUUGGUUGCUACUUGUGCAACGCACACUAAUCAACAUUUGCACUUGCAGACCAACUAAAUAGUUGCGGAGAAGCACAUUUAAUUGAUGACUUUACUAUCUUUAGCUUAGGACUUUUUAAAAGCGAAGACUGGACUCCUUAGCCAUCUUCGUGUUCAUAGGAAUGAUUAAUGGAGGAAUUCUAAAAGCGAAGACUGGACUCCUUAGCCAUCUUCGUGUUCAUAGGAAUGAUUAAUGGAGGAAUUUUAAAAGCGAAGACUGGACUCCUUAGCCAUCUUCGUGUUCAUAGGAAUGAUUAAUGGAGGAAUUUUAAAAGCGAAGACUGGACUCCUUAGCCAUCUUUGUGUUUAAAGGAUGUAGUUGAGGACAUUUAAAAAAAAAAAGAUCGGUCUCCAUGGCCAUCUUUGCUUAGGUAGAAUAAAAAAUGGACUUGGAUAUUUUUUAGAGCGAAGAUCGGACUCCACAGCCAUCUUCGUACUUAUAGGAAAGGAUAUUGUAUUAUUUUUUAAACAUGAGGAAUUUUAGCUGAGGACUAGAUGUAGUAACAGUCAUCAAUUGAUGUGUUCAUCCAAGACGAAAUAGUUGGUUAUGUCUGUGCAUUUGUAGACAACCCAGAUGAAGAUAGAGAGUAAGCUACAUCCUAUUACUCUAGAAAAAGAACAGUCUACAGAUGAAUGCAACUAGCUCCUUUGGGCUUGAAAACUCCAUAUAUCAAAAAAUAUGCAGCAAGUCAGUCUCAAGUUAUUUGAAUAGAUCAAGUAGUGGAGCAUACAGAUGGAGUAACAGGCAAGAGGUAGAGAUAUCAAGAAUUGUGCAAUCAAGUUGCAGAGCACAAUCGAUCUUUAGCAUACAGCAUACAGUUGAAUGGAACAAUUAUCUACUUAGAACAACUAUAGAAGCUACAUGUCCACAAGUUGUUUUUUUUUUCCUUUAAGG